This 1106-nucleotide ribosomal RNA is filed under the name Pseudoselenomonas caprae. RNAcentral describes it as "Selenomonas sp. mPRGC8 partial 23S ribosomal RNA". It matches the Rfam family "Bacterial large subunit ribosomal RNA", at positions 661 to 1766 of the family's 2925-position model. Lineage: Bacteria; Bacillati; Bacillota; Negativicutes; Selenomonadales; Selenomonadaceae. The record is from RNAcentral.
CGGAGCCGAAGCGAAAGCGAGUCUUAAUAGGGCGAAAGUAACAAGGAUUAGACCCGAAACCACAGUGAUCUAUGCAUGGCCAGGUUGAAGCUCAGGUAAAAAUGAGUGGAGGACCGAACCCGUGAGUGUUGAAAAACUUUGGGAUGAGCUGUGCAUAGGGGUGAAAUGCCAAUCGAACGUGGAGAUAGCUGGUUCUCCCCGAAAUAGCUUUAGGGCUAGCCUCAGGCGACACAUGAAGACGGUAGAGCACUGAUCGGACGCGGGUCUGUAAUGGAUACCAACUCCAGUCAAACUUCGAAUGGCUUCAUGAGAAGAACCUGGGAGUCAGAAUGCGAGUGAUAAGACCCGUAUUCAAGAGGGAAACAGCCCAGAACGCCGACUAAGGUCCCAAAUGCUGUACUAAGUGGAAAAGGAUGUAGGACUUCCUAAACAACCAGGAUGUUGGCUCAGAAGCAGCCACCAUUUAAAGAGUGCGUAAUAGCUCACUGGUCGAGAGGCCCUGCGCCGAAAAUAUCCGGGGCUCAAGUACAGAACCGAAGUCGCGUCAUGCGCAAGCAUGGGUAGGGGAGCGUUCCAUAGGCGUUGAAGGUUGACCGGAAGGACAGCUGGAGCGUAUGGAAGUGAGAAUGCCGGUAUGAGUAGCGAAACGGUCAGUGAGAAUCUGACCCACCGAAAGCCUAAGGUUUCCUGAGCAACGCUCGUCGUCUCAGGGUAAGUCGGGACCUAAGCCGAGGCAGCAAGCAUAGGCGAUGGACAACUGGCGAAAAUUCCAGUACUGCAUGUUGUUGUUUGAGGAUGGAGUGACGCAGCAAGGAGUCUGAGCUGGCGAUUGGAAAUGCCAGUCGAAGGCGGUAGGCUGGUGUGGAGGCAAAUCCCCACACUGUAAGGCUGAGAACUGAUAGAUAGAUAAAUCCUUCGGGAUGCAUCAAAUUCAGACGUACUACACUGCCAAGAAAAGCUUCUAACGAGACAACAUGUACCCGUACCAAAACCGACACAGGUAGGCGGGGAGAGAAUCCUAAGGUGCGCGGGAAAACCCUCGUUAAGGAACUCGGCAAAAUGCAUCCGUAACUUCGGGAGAAGGAUGGCCGGAGCUGGUGAAGAGA